UCCUGGUUAACCCAGGCAGUCUCGUUAGAGUUCCCAUCUUUACAUGUUGGCAACUAACGAUAAGGGUUGCGCUCGUUGCGGGACUUAACCCAACACCUCACGGCACGAGCUGACGACAGCCAUGCAGCACCUGUGCAGCAGCCCCGAAGGGAGACGCUAUCUCUAGCGUUGUCUACUGCAUGUCAAGCCUGGGUAAGGUUCUUCGCGUUGCAUCGAAUUAAACCACAUGCUCCACUGCUUGUGCGGGUCCCCGUCAAUUCUUUUGAGUUUCAGCCUUGCGACUGUACUUCUCAGGCGGUAUACUUAUCGCGUUAGCUUCGGCACAACCGGGGUUGAGUCCAGUUACACCAAGUAUACAUCGUUUACAGCAAGGACUAC
Molecule: unclassified non-coding RNA, 378 nt
Filed under: uncultured Parachlamydiaceae bacterium
Lineage: Bacteria; Pseudomonadati; Chlamydiota; Chlamydiia; Parachlamydiales; Parachlamydiaceae
Description: contains 16S-23S intergenic spacer region
Source: RNAcentral